This is a long non-coding RNA of Cygnus atratus (black swan), 2879 nucleotides long. RefSeq lists it as uncharacterized. The transcript has 3 exons. Lineage: Eukaryota; Metazoa; Chordata; Aves; Anseriformes; Anatidae. The record is from RefSeq and is a predicted model, not a curated record.
GCGACGCCCUGCGCAGGCUGCAGGGCCGGCAGCCGGAUUCCCAUCAUAAACCCCCACUAAAACGAGCCUAGAGCGGUAGUCACGUACAGCCAGAUAAAACGCUGCACAAGCUGAAGGAAGCGACUUUAUUACCAUAGACACAAACACUCCAAUUCUCACGGCAGCCACCACUUCAAAGUGUCACCCCUUCCCCAGCAUCCGUCCCCGCGCGGCUCUCGGCCGGCGGGUGCUGCUGACUGAAGUACAGGUUUCCCCACAGAGGGGCCCCUGUAGCUUGGCAUUCUCGGUCUGUUUGGACUCUGUGUACUUAAGUUGGAGAAAGGGUCAGGAUUUCAUACCGAGAUUAUGUGCAUUUCUUGAAAACAGCUCGAUACAUUUCAGUGACUAAGAAGAGGCCUGACUGGGGACCAUCACUACUGAACUGCAAACCAGUAAACAUAUUAUUCUCUGUCUCUGUAAAGAAACAGAUGAAUUUAAAAAUUAACUUCUGAAUAUUACGCUUGCUUCAGUUUAGAAGGCAGACCCACCUAUUUUAUGCCAGUCAUCCGUCCUCCACCAAAUUCCAGAAGGAGCAGUGUUAUCAUCUUCAGAUGUCGUGCUUUCCAGGGCUACAUACAAGCCAGAAGGGUCUUCAGGCACCUCUAUUCUGAUCAGCUAGUCCAGACUUGCCAAGAAAAAGACCACCUUCUCUGAGAAAGUUUCACAAAUUAAACAAAACUCUGAAAAAUACUUGUUAUCUGCCUUCCAAAAAAGAUAUUUUAUGCACAUGUAUUAUAAACAGAGAAGGAGAGUGCAAAACUUAAUGACGUACCCUCAGAUCUUUACUGAAGGCACGUCUAAUUAACGUAAUUAAUAGUAAUGACCAUCAAUAUAGAACUCAAAGAUUAAUAUCAUUCAACUACCAACGUUUCAAUUACAUUUAUCAGGAAGGGUAGAUCACAGGUGUUGACCAUGAAAAGACCUGAGUUUUUUCUUCACUUUUGUUUUUCACAUGAAGUGUAACAACAUCUUUUAGCCUCACUAGAGGAUGUGUUAACGUUCACCUUCCUACAGGGACCAUGUUUUUCUUUGGCUUUCUUUUUAUUUAUUUUCAGUCAGAAAAGUUUGAUAUACAACAGCUUUUUCCUACCUCUUUGUUGAUUUCCUUCAGGUUAUGUACCAUCUCAAAUGCAGAAUGAUAUGAUACAGAAAGGCCUGCUUAGCUAUGCAUCUUUCCAUCUCUUUUCUGGCUUUGACUGCAGAGGAAAAUGGGUCAUCCUAAUUCGAUAUAUCAAUCCCUGCCCCAAAAAAUCAGCUCCCUGCUGGUGUUCCUAAUUGCCACUCAUCCUCAGCCCCUCAGUCCUAAAGUAAUGCUGGAACAGGUGACGAGGCUACUUUAAUGACAGGUGCCCAUUUCUUGCUUGGUACUGCAUGUGUCUUGUGAAUGCCCUGACACAACAGGACAUAUAUGCAUAUUUACUAACAUUAAAACCACUUAGCACCUAAUCACAAAGUAUAUCUCAGGCCACAAGUAUAAAUACAGUUAAAUAUAUAUAUAUUUUUAAUCAGUAAACAGGAGGUGAUAACCAGUGGGAUGUGUGCCUGGCAUAUAAUUUGCUGCAAUACCCCUGAUGAUGGAUUACAGCAAACUAAAUUCAAAGAGUACAAACACAAAACAAGAGUACAACACAAAAGUGAGAGAUAGGUUAGAUUUCAGAUGAGGUCAGUUGAUUUCUGAUAACUUAAAUCCUGCUUUGUGUGCCAGAAGCUAAGCCAUAAUGUUAUCAUUAUGUACAGACUUGGUAGAAGAAAGAAUAGCAGCAGUAGUGAAGCAAGAAUUUGCGUAUUGACUUCCAGGUGCGUGGAAUAACUUUAUGAUACAAUAGGAGUGGCCUUCAGAGCACAAAAUACUCAUAUACUAUGCAGUCAAUGAGACAGAGGAGGGAAAAAAUAAAUAUUUUUCAGUUAUUUAUAUCUUUUUCAUUGUUGCCAAUAAGGGAGUUUAAAAAAGAACGUUUCAAAUAAAAUAUAAAUACUUCAGAGUAAAUUGUAAUCUGAAUGUAUUUUUUCAGGCAGAUUUUCAGAAAUGAAGAGGCUUUUAUUGAAUGCUAAAACAAACUUACAGUCACCUAAGAAUAAGCAGUAUAAUUUACACAAAACAGUUUAGCACAAAAGGAUCCUUAGUCAAUGAUCCAACUUCUUUAGUAAGCAGACAUAAAAUCAUUUGACUUCAAAAUUAUGUUGAUAAAUUAAUGAUUAAAUAUGAGCUAUCAAGAGUGAGAUGGAUAUAAUUCAAGUAUUUUUUUCCUGGGAAAAAAAGGAAUUGAAAAUUUUAAUGUCAGUUUUGUAAUACUAAAGAAUAAACACCCUGGAGAACAAGAGAACUACUGCUUAGUUUCCUUUGUUACACUUGCAUUCAUUUUGAGUGCACAGAAAUUUUCCUGAAUAUGACUAUAUGCCGUGCCCUUUUCAAAUUUGCAAACACACUUCUAAACAACAGCAGGAAUUGAAAAAUAUAACACACACACACACACUGGAACUAUUCCAGAUUAGGAUUGAGAAUCAGUUCUUUUCUAAAGGAUCUAAAUGAAAAAUUUACAGUUUAAAAAAAUUCUGCUGCUAUAUAAGCAUAAACGAAGGGAAAAUACUUCAUCAGAGCAUGGUAGUAUAGGAAUUAUUAAACCAUUUUUCUUUCAGCUAGUUUUUUGUUGUUAUUUUUUGUUUUGUUCAUUUUUUUGGUUGGUUGUUGUUUGUUUUGUUGUUGUUGUUUUUUCCAAAUAGCCUGCUGUAUAGUGUAUAGAAAGGGGCUAAGUAUCGAUUGAGAUAAAAAUUCUGUUAUUAGCUUAGAAUCAUUUUACCUUGCGAGUACGAUAACAUUUGCAGAUUCAAAUUUGAUUGGA